CUCCACCUCUGUGGAGACUGACCCCUUCUUUGCAUAUUUGAAGGUAAUUCUCAUGCCUCCUUCAUAUUCUGUUCCUUUAGAAUUGGCUGCUUUCCCAUGGAGAGUUCUUGAAACUGUGAGAUAUUGUAUUAGAAAAAAAGCAGAGGGUGAGUAGGAGCUUACUCUAAACUCAUAAUAAAGAUCCCUGCUGCUCCAGAAGCAGUCUAGGAAGGAAGUGUGAUUCAUGAUGACCCUGCUUCUUCUUGAGCUUCCAGCUGUUCUCCCCACACCCUCAUGUACUUUCAGUUUGCAGCUUUACUCCAAGACUCUUUCUGCCUUCACAUGCUGCUUCCAGGCAUCUUGAACCUUCUGCCCUGUACUAAUAAAGGAAAAGGAGCCUAUUAUCCCAGACGCCCUGGAAACAGGGAAAUGGCUUGGCAUGCUCUGCCAGCAGCACGCUAGCAAAAGCCAUGGAGAGAGAGGCAGCUUCUAAAAAUGGCUGAACUUCCUCAUCCCAGCAUUAACACUAGAAACUGUGGAAAACACCUGGAGACCAUGUCCCACUUGGUGGAAAUGAAGUGAUUACAGAACAGAUAGAAGGUUUGGACACCUUCAAUCUGUGGAACAGUCUGGAAUUUAGAAGAAAGGGUAAAAAAACCCAAACUAAAACCCAAAGGAAAAAUACGCAGAAGCUUAAACUUUGAAAGUUAGCAAGUAAUCCUUACAAUACCCA
This 712-nucleotide long non-coding RNA is filed under the name Parus major (Great Tit). RNAcentral's name for it is "lncRNA (ENSPMJG00000011007.1)". Lineage: Eukaryota; Metazoa; Chordata; Aves; Passeriformes; Paridae. The record is from RNAcentral.